Molecule: ribosomal RNA, 517 nt
Filed under: uncultured Bacillota bacterium
Lineage: Bacteria; Bacillati; Bacillota
Description: bacterial SSU rRNA
Rfam family: Bacterial small subunit ribosomal RNA
Source: RNAcentral
AGCAAUGCCGCGUGAACGAAGAAGGUUCUCGGAUCGUAAAGUUCUGUUGUAAGGGAAGAACGACGUACGGGAGUAACUAGCCCGUACCUUGACGGUACCUUAUUAGAAAGCCACGGCUAACUACGUGCCAGCAGCCGCGGUAAUACGUAGGUGGCAAGCGUUGUCCGGAAUUAUUGGGCGUAAAGCGCGCGCAGGCGGUCUUUUAAGUCUGAUGUGAAAGCCCACGGCUCAACCGUGGAAGGUCAUUGGAAACUGGGAGACUUGAGUACAGAAGAGGAAAGCGGAAUUCCACGUGUAGCGGUGAAAUGCGUAGAGAUGUGGAGGAACACCAGUGGCGAAGGCGGCUUUCUGGUCUGUAACUGACGCUGAGGCGCGAAAGCGUGGGGAGCAAACAGGAUUAGAUACCCUGGUAGUCCACGCCGUAAACGAUGAGUGCUAAGUGUUAGGGGGUUUCCGCCCCUUAGUGCUGCAGCUAACGCAUUGAGCACUCCGCCUGGGGAGUACGGCCGCAAGGCUG